This 1373-nucleotide ribosomal RNA is filed under the name uncultured bacterium. Its description in RNAcentral is "bacterial SSU rRNA". It matches the Rfam family "Bacterial small subunit ribosomal RNA", at positions 28 to 1381 of the family's 1533-position model. The record is from RNAcentral.
GAUGAACGCUGGCGGCGUGCCUAAUACAUGCAAGUCGAGCGAACGGACGAGAAGCUUGCUUCUCUGAUGUUAGCGGCGGACGGGUGAGUAACACGUGGAUAACCUACCUAUAAGACUGGGAUAACUUCGGGAAACCGGAGCUAAUACCGGAUAAUAUUUUGAACCGCAUGGUUCAAAAGUGAAAGACGGUCUUGCUGUCACUUAUAGAUGGAUCCGCGCUGCAUUAGCUAGUUGGUAAGGUAACGGCUUACCAAGGCAACGAUGCAUAGCCGACCUGAGAGGGUGAUCGGCCACACUGGAACUGAGACACGGUCCAGACUCCUACGGGAGGCAGCAGUAGGGAAUCUUCCGCAAUGGGCGAAAGCCUGACGGAGCAACGCCGCGUGAGUGAUGAAGGUCUUCGGAUCGUAAAACUCUGUUAUUAGGGAAGAACAUAUGUGUAAGUAACUGUGCACAUCUUGACGGUACCUAAUCAGAAAGCCACGGCUAACUACGUGCCAGCAGCCGCGGUAAUACGUAGGUGGCAAGCGUUAUCCGGAAUUAUUGGGCGUAAAGCGCGCGUAGGCGGUUUUUUAAGUCUGAUGUGAAAGCCCACGGCUCAACCGUGGAGGGUCAUUGGAAACUGGAAAACUUGAGUGCAGAAGAGGAAAGUGGAAUUCCAUGUGUAGCGGUGAAAUGCGCAGAGAUAUGGAGGAACACCAGCGGCGAAGGCGACUUUCUGGUCUGUAACUGACGCUGAUGUGCGAAAGCGUGGGGAUCAAACAGGAUUAGAUACCCUGGUAGUCCACGCCGUAAACGAUGAGUGCUAAGUGUUAGGGGGUUUCCGCCCCUUAGUGCUGCAGCUAACGCAUUAAGCACUCCGCCUGGGGAGUACGACCGCAAGGUUGAAACUCAAAGGAAUUGACGGGGACCCGCACAAGCGGUGGAGCAUGUGGUUUAAUUCGAAGCAACGCGAAGAACCUUACCAAAUCUUGACAUCCUUUGACAACUCUAGAGAUAGAGCCUUCCCCUUCGGGGGGGCAAAGUGACAGGUGGUGCAUGGUUGUCGUCAGCUCGUGUCGUGAGAUGUUGGGUUAAGUCCCGCAACGAGCGCAACCCUUAAGCUUAGUUGCCAUCAUUAAGUUGGGCACUCUAAGUUGACUGCCGGUGACAAACCGGAGGAAGGUGGGGAUGACGUCAAAUCAUCAUGCCCCUUAUGAUUUGGGCUACACACGUGCUACAAUGGACAAUACAAAGGGCAGCGAAACCGCGAGGUCAAGCAAAUCCCAUAAAGUUGUUCUCAGUUCGGAUUGUAGUCUGCAACUCGACUACAUGAAGCUGGAAUCGCUAGUAAUCGUAGAUCAGCAUGCUACGGUGAAUACGUUCCCGGGUCU